AGAAUCAACGCUGGCGGCGUGCCUAACACAUGCAAGUCGAACGAGAAAGUGGAGCAAUCCAUGAGUAAAGUGGCGCACGGGUGAGUAACACGUGACUAACCUACCUUUUAGUGGGGGAUAACCUAGGGAAACCUGGGCUAAUACCGCAUAAUACCUACGGGUCAAAGCAGCAAUGCGCUGAUAGAGGGGGUCGCGGCCGAUUAGCUAGUUGGCGGGGUAAUGGCCCACCAAGGCAGUGAUCGGUA
Molecule: ribosomal RNA, 245 nt
Filed under: uncultured bacterium
Lineage: Bacteria
Description: partial small subunit ribosomal RNA
Rfam family: Bacterial small subunit ribosomal RNA
Source: RNAcentral